UACGGAGGGGGCUAGCGUUGUCCGGAAUCAUUGGGCGUAAAGCGCGUGUAGGCGGCCAGAUAAGUCCGCUGUGAAAUCUCGAGGCUCAACUUCGAGCUGUCGGUGGAAACUGUCUGGCUAGAGUCCGGAAGAGGAGAAUGGAAUUCCUGGUGUAGCGGUGAAAUGCGCAGAUAUCAGGAAGAACACCCGUGGCGAAGGCGGUUCUCUGGGACGGUACUGACGCUGAGACGCGAAAGCGUGGGGAGCGAACAGG
This 253-nucleotide ribosomal RNA is filed under the name uncultured bacterium. RNAcentral's name for it is "partial 16S ribosomal RNA". It matches the Rfam family "Bacterial small subunit ribosomal RNA", at positions 524 to 776 of the family's 1533-position model. The record is from RNAcentral.